AAUGAGGUCCCCUCUCAGUGGCUGCUCUCGAGGCUGAGCAGCCCCAGCUCCCUCAGCUUUUCCUUGUCACAGACAUGCUCCAGUCCCUUCAUCUCUGUAGCCUCCACUGGAUCUGCCCCAGGAGCUCCACAUCCCUGCUGUCCUGAGGAGCCCAGAACUGGACACAGCACUCCAGCUGUGCCUCACAGCGCUGAGCAGAGGGCAGGAUCACCUCCCUGACCUGCUGGCAAUGCUCUUCCUAAGGCACUCCAGGAUUCUGUUGCCCUCCUUGGCCCCCAGGACACACUGCUGUCUUAAGGGCAGCUGGUUGUCCACCAGGACCUUCUCUUCAUUCCACCCCCACAGUAACACAUCUUCAGAUGGAUUUUAGGGAACAACUCGAGUGUUCUGGAGGAAUGUUGGGGCUCUGUUAUGAGAGGAAUUCCCCUAAGAUCCAUCCUGAUGGAGGCCAAGACCAGGGCACUGUCCCUCUUCUUCACUCAGGCUCAAUCUGGGUCACCUCACCCAGCAAGAAUCAUUCCCCAAAUCCCCAUCACUGACACCUUCCUUAGGCGGUUGACAUUCCACAAGUCAAUUAAGGAAUUGCCUGCACUAAAAGGCAGGUACAAAGUCCUGUGUGAAGAGAGCAGGAAAUAUCCAGGAUAUUCCCACUGUCCAUGGAGGUAACUCAUGAAGAUGGAGAAGGAGGUUCCCUGGCUGAGGUUACGGCAGCAACUUAUUUUGCCUUGUUUUUGGAGAUUUCCUUGGUUCUGCUGCAAUGGAAAUAAACACACUUUACGAGACUUACCUGGUUGGAAUCAACAUCAGCACUGGAACAGACCAAGCCAAAGGUGUGUUCUUCUUUCUCUCAGUUUGUAUUUUCUGUGCAUGACAUAAAUUGCAACUGGGGAGCAAAUACUCAAGUUCAAGAACUUCAUCUGCAGAGUGAAACUCCUUCAUCUGUCUGUAGAUGGGCAAAAUGUAACUUAAAUGGGGCUUCACCUGCCACAGACACUUCUGUGGUGUGGGAACAGCUUUGGGCUGAAUUCUACCUCCUGUGGUUCACAGAGCUGAACAAAUAAUGUCCUUGCUAGAACUUCCCUGAUUUAUGCCUGAAUUUUAGUGAGAACAACUUUAUGAGUUCUACAGGACAAAAAGAAUCCACAAAGCAUCUUGUUUGAUGUUUCAGUCAAACUCUUAUUAAAACUCAGAGGUGAACAGUUUCUACGCUGAAAGCAAUUUUCCCUUCAUGCUUAAACAUUCUGCAUCCUGGCUGUGUUUGUUGUUCUUUGUCUAGUAGCAAGAUUAAAAUCACGCAUUUUCUUCUGAAGGCAAACCUGACAAAAAAGCCACUUUGUUCACUAUCCACCAUCCAGGAUGAUUUUGGACAUAAAAUUAGAAAUUCUAGCAAGCUGGGUCUAGAUAUUGACACACAGGGCAUCAGAUGCAGAGCUCUGAGAGCACAAAGCAGAGCUCAAUAGAUUUCUGCAGCUGCCUGGUCAGCAAAAAGCCUCCACCUAAUCCUACACAAAUCCAGAGCCACGGAGCUUUCAGGAGCAGAUAAGAAAAGAAAACCCUGAAAUUCUUGGCUUUGGUGAGUCUGUGCAGUGGCUGACCACUUCCAGAAAUGUUCGCUUCCCAAAUAAUGACCAACAAGCUAAAAAAAAAAAAGGCUUUAAAACUUACAUCGAUAUUGUCAUUUAUAUGUAAAGUUUAGAUCUCUCAAGGCUGUUGGUAAAAGUAGAGGAACCUGAGUGAAUUUUCAGUCCUGUUACAGCACUUUUUCAGCCAGAAAAGGAAACUGAGACAGAAUCAUUUCCAUGUAGCCACUAUUCACAGAUC
Molecule: long non-coding RNA, 1821 nt
Organism: Chiroxiphia lanceolata (lance-tailed manakin)
Lineage: Eukaryota; Metazoa; Chordata; Aves; Passeriformes; Pipridae
Exons: 4
Source: RefSeq, a predicted model, not a curated record